ACUAAAACUUCUAGGAAUUCAGAAAUCUGGUAACACUUUUAAAACUAAUCAUGAUUGCAUCAUAAAAUUCUUUAUUCUUAAUUCUAGGUAAGCAACUGUAAAAUAUAGAGACUAUAAAUAAUCUGAUAUUCAUGAAAAUCUAUAAAAUAUUGCUGCUGCUUAAUACUAUAAGUUGAAAGCUUUAUUCUGAAAACUGAAUUCUAUAAUCUGAAAUCUGAUAAACUGUAGAAAUACUGAGAAACCACACCAAAAAGGUAUCAAUGAAUAGCCUUACUCAUGUAC
Molecule: long non-coding RNA, 282 nt
Filed under: Olea europaea subsp. europaea
Lineage: Eukaryota; Viridiplantae; Streptophyta; Magnoliopsida; Lamiales; Oleaceae
Source: RNAcentral